CACCGCGGUUAUACGAAAGACCCGAGUUGAUAGACGACGGCGUAAAGAGUGGUUAAGACAAACUUAUACAAGUAAAGCCGAACCCCCUCAGGACUGUUAUACGUGUCCGAAAGGGAGAAGUUCAACCACGAAGGUAGCUUUAUAAUACCUGAACCCACGAAAGCUACGAAA
This 171-nucleotide ribosomal RNA is filed under the name Doederleinia berycoides (blackthroat seaperch). RNAcentral's name for it is "partial 12S ribosomal RNA". Lineage: Eukaryota; Metazoa; Chordata; Actinopteri; Acropomatiformes; Acropomatidae. The record is from RNAcentral.